UACGAAGGGGGCUAGCGUUGCUCGGAAUCACUGGGCGUAAAGCGCACGUAGGCGGAUUGUUAAGUCAGGGGUGAAAUCCUGGAGCUCAACUCCAGAACUGCCUUUGAUACUGGCGAUCUUGAGUCCGGGAGAGGUGAGUGGAACUGCGAGUGUAGAGGUGAAAUUCGUGGAUAUUCGCAAGAACACCGGUGGCGAAGGCGGCCAACUGGACUGGUAUUGACGCUGAGGCGCGAAAGCGUGGGGAGCAAACAGG
RNAcentral lists this ribosomal RNA (253 nucleotides) under uncultured bacterium. RNAcentral describes it as "partial 16S ribosomal RNA". It matches the Rfam family "Bacterial small subunit ribosomal RNA", at positions 524 to 776 of the family's 1533-position model. The record is from RNAcentral.